CCUACGGGGUGCUGCAGUGGGGAAUAUUGGACAAUGGGCGAAAGCCUGAUCCAGCCAUGCCGCGUGUGUGAAGAAGGCCUUCGGGUUGUAAAGCACUUUCAGUGGGGAAGAAAGCCUUGGGGCUAAUACCCUCGAGGAAGGACAUCACCCACAGAAGAAGCACCGGCUAACUCCGCGCCAGCAGCCGCGGUAAUACGGAGGGUGCGAGCGUUAAUCGGAAUUACUGGGCGUAAAGCGCGCGUAGGCGGUCUGAUAAGCCGGUUGUGAAAGCCCCGGGCUCAACCUGGGAACGGCAUCCGGAACUGUCAGGCUAGAGUGCAGGAGAGGAAGGUAGAAUUCCCGGUGUAGCGGUGAAAUGCGUAGAGAUCGGGAGGAAUACCAGUGGCGAAGGCGGCCUUCUGGACUGACACUGACGCUGAGGUGCGAAAGCGUGGGUAGCAAACAGGAUUAGAUACCCGAGUAGUC
This 465-nucleotide ribosomal RNA is filed under the name Vreelandella stevensii. RNAcentral's name for it is "partial 16S ribosomal RNA". It matches the Rfam family "Bacterial small subunit ribosomal RNA", at positions 338 to 795 of the family's 1533-position model. Lineage: Bacteria; Pseudomonadati; Pseudomonadota; Gammaproteobacteria; Oceanospirillales; Halomonadaceae. The record is from RNAcentral.